UUGUCACUUCCUUUCAAAUUU
Molecule: non-coding RNA, 21 nt
Filed under: Caenorhabditis elegans
Lineage: Eukaryota; Metazoa; Nematoda; Chromadorea; Rhabditida; Rhabditidae
Source: RNAcentral